Long non-coding RNA from Drosophila serrata, 558 nucleotides. The record is from RefSeq and is a predicted model, not a curated record. Lineage: Eukaryota; Metazoa; Arthropoda; Insecta; Diptera; Drosophilidae.
CCGCCUUCCAUCAUAGAGCGACCUCUCCCGAAGCUUCUCCCGCUUAUCAUUGCUAAUCAGUUCAUCCGCGCAGGUAGAUCGGUGAAAAAAAUGUUAAAACUUACGACGCAAUAGUAAAGACAGGGGCCAAAAGUAAAUUGUAAUAAAUUAAGAGUAUAGUGAAAAGUGUUACUUAGUUAGCCCCCUAACCUAGCCCCGGCCCCUGUCACGGUUUUUUACAUAUCGAAUAUUAGUGCGUAGUUUCGUUUUAUAUGGCAAAAACAAUGAUUCUUCAAUUGAGAAGGGUUUUUGUUGUAUGUUGUCCACUAAUUCACCGUUGGCAUCGAUCUGCAGCCACAACUAAUGUAAAGGGGUUUAACUAUGGUAAAAGUGGCUACAUUUAAACAAAACGAGCAGCGAAGCGUGGCGCCAUCAAUGGAUCAACGUCAGUUUUCAGUACUUCAAGCUAAGACAACAACCGCAGCCUAGAAAACACACCACACAUAGCUGUGUAAAACUGUGUAAAAUUUGCAGUGGAACAUCAUAAUUCUUGAUCCAGAACUCAAUUUUUACUCUAUG